AUGCGUCGCAACCCAACACCGUGCAUGAAAUAUUCGCCGGUCUUUGGAGGGGCGGACAUUGGCUUNCCGUGCUUCGGUGCGGCUGGCCUAAAUGCGAGUCCCUUGCGACGGACACUACGACAAGUGGUGGUUGAUUUNCUCAACUAAGGUGUGUCGCGCGCUGACCCGUCGGACGAGGAGACUUCCCUGACCCUAACACGUGCGUCACGACGCAUGCCACGACCGC
RNAcentral lists this ribosomal RNA (226 nucleotides) under Gentiana piasezkii. The record is from RNAcentral. Lineage: Eukaryota; Viridiplantae; Streptophyta; Magnoliopsida; Gentianales; Gentianaceae.